RNAcentral lists this ribosomal RNA (449 nucleotides) under uncultured bacterium. RNAcentral's name for it is "bacterial SSU rRNA". It matches the Rfam family "Bacterial small subunit ribosomal RNA", at positions 29 to 523 of the family's 1533-position model. The record is from RNAcentral.
AACGAACGCUGGCGGCAGGCUUAACACAUGCAAGUCGAGCGCCCACUUCGGUGGGAGCGGCAGACGGGUUAGUAACGCGUGGGAACCUACCUUGUAGUUCGGAAUAGCCUCGGGAAACUGGGAUUAAUACCGUAUACGCCCUUAGGGGGAAAGAUUUAUCGCUAUAAGAUGGGCCCGCGUUAGAUUAGUUUGUUGGUGGGGUAAUGGCCUACCAAGACUACGAUCUAUAGCUGGUCUGAGAGGAUGAUCAGCAACACUGGGACUGAGACACGGCCCAGACUCCUACGGGAGGCAGCAGUGGGGAAUAUUGGACAAUGGGCGAAAGCCUGAUCCAGCCAUGCCGCGUGAGUGAUGAAGGCCCUAGGGUUGUAAAGCUCUUUCACCGGUGAAGAUAAUGACGGUAACCGGAGAAGAAGCCCCGGCUAACUUCGUGCCAGCAGCCGCGGUAA